Salvelinus fontinalis (brook trout) is the source of this 5055-nucleotide long non-coding RNA. RefSeq lists it as uncharacterized. The transcript has 5 exons. The record is from RefSeq and is a predicted model, not a curated record. Lineage: Eukaryota; Metazoa; Chordata; Actinopteri; Salmoniformes; Salmonidae.
AAUUGACUCCAUUCCAGACAUUAUUAUGAGCCAUCCUCCCCUCAGCAGCCUCCACCGAUAUAGUUAUAUGUCUGUCAUAUUGAGGUGUCUAGCUAUAAGUUAAACCUGAUCAAUCAAAUGGAUAGGUUUAAACUUGGUGUCUUCGCUAGACAGACAGAGGGGGAGGAAGAAAAUGGGAGUGAAAGGAUGAAAGUGAGAGGUAGGAAGAGUGGAAGACAGAUGGAGAGAGAGAGAAACAGAGAGAGAAAGACAGUAGUGAUUGAGGUUGAGGAUAUCCCUCUAGUGGUGUGGGGGCUGUGCUUUGGCAGAGUGGGUGGGGUUAUAUCCUUCCUGUUUGGCCCUGUCCGGGGGUUUCUUCGGAUGGGGCCACAGUGUCUCCUGACCGCUCCUGUCUCAGCCUCCAGUAUUUAUGCUGCAGUAGUUUAUGUGUCGGGGGGCUAGGGUCAGUUGGUUAUACCUGGAGUACUUCUCCUGUCUUAUCCAGUGUCCUGUGUGAAUUUAAGUAUGCUCUCUCUAAUUCUCUCGUUCUCUCUUUCUCUCUGAGAACCUGAGCCCUAGGACCAUACGUCAGGACUACCGGGCAUGCUGACACCUUGCUGUCCCCAGUCCGCCCGGCCUUGCUGCUAUUCCAGUUUCAACUGUUUCUGCCUGCGGUUACGAAACCCCUACCCGUCCCAGACCUGCUGUUUUCAACUCUUAAUGAUCGGCUAUGAAAAGCCAACUGAGAUUUAUUCCUGAUUAUUAUUUGACCAUGCUUGUCAUUUAUGAACAUUUUGAAAAUCUUGGCUCUCUCUAAUUUUCUCCUUCUCUCUUUCUCUCGGAGGACCUGAGCCCUAGGACCAUACGUCGGGACUACCGGCCGUGGUGACUCCUUGCUGCCCCCAGUCCGCCUGGCCUUGCUGCUAUUCCAGUUUCAACUCUUCUGCCUGCGGUUAUGGAACCCCUACCUGUCCCAGACCUGCUGUUUUCAACUCUUAAUGAUCGGCUAUGAAAAGCCAACUGAGAUUUAUUCCUGAUUAUUAUUUGACCAUGCUUGUCAUUUAUGAACAUUUUUAAAAUCUUGGCUCUCUCUAAUUUUCUCCUUCUCUCUUUCUUUCUCUCGGAGGACCUGGGCCCUAGGACCAUGCGUCGGGACUGCCGCCCGUGGUGACUCCUUGCUGUCCCCAGUCCGCCUGGCCUUGCUGCUAUUCCAGUUUCAGCUGUUCUGCCUGCGGUUAUGGAACCGCCACCUGUCCCAGACCUGUUGUUUUUCAACUCUUAAUGAUCAGCUAUGAAAAGCCAACUGAAAAUUAUUCAUGAUUAUUAUUUGACCAUGCUUGUCACUUAUGAACAUUUUUGAACAUCUUGGCAUAGUUCUGUUAUAAUCUCCACCCGGCACAGCCAGAAGAGGACUGGCCACCCCUCAUAGCCUGGUUCCUCUCUAGGUUUCUUCCUAGGUUUUGGCCUUUCUAGGGAGUUUUUCCUAGCCACCGUGCUUCUACACCUGCAUUCUAGCUGUUUGGGGUUUUAGGCUGGGUUUCUGUACAGCACUUCGAGAUAUUAUCUGAUGUACGAAGGGCUAUAUAAAAUAAAAUUGAUUGAUUGAUAGUGCAAAUAUACUUAGACUUGAGUAUUUCAACAACUCUUCUCUUCCAACUUGUUAGGCAAUCAUAUCUACCUACGGGGAAGGAUGGCCAGCCACACAGAAGGUUGAUUUUUACUAAGGAGAAGGAGGCCAUGCUGACAGAAAUGCAUGUGUACAUUUUUGGAGUGAAGCGCAUGAAUGCCAAAAUGUACCUAAUCUUCUUCUGACAUGGAAUUGUCAAGGAUGUGGACAGCGGGGCAAGUCAGUACCAUGUCUAGCCUGCCAUAAGUUUGAGAGGGCGAAGACAGUGGCACUGGAGAUAAAGCCCAUCAAAGUUGUUUCACCAUGGCACAUGAUCGGUUCACCAUGGCACAUGAUCGGGGUGGACCUCAUUGGACCCUUCACGAAAUCCAGGAAUGGCAACAGCUGGUGUUUUCCAGCGACCGAUCACUUUCAAGUUGGUGGAGGCAAUACCCAUUACAGUCAGUAAAGGAAGAGUUUGGUGGAUGGACAAACCAGACCCUCAAGACUGCCAUGAGCAAGUCCCUUGAUACCAGGAAGGGUGGGAGAACAACCUGAAGGCAAUUCUCUUUGCGCACAACAGCAGCAUCCAGGCCAAGUAUGGAUGGGAGCCGCAGCUGUUGACUGAGAUCUCUGAAACCCCACCUGAUGUGGUGGAAGUGUUCGAUCCAGAUUAGAACGCCUUCAAGUACCACCUUCAGGCACAGACUGAGAAGGAUGUGGAGGUUUUUGACCAGGAAAAAUGAUUGCCCGCUGUUAAUUUAUGUUGUAACGCUGCAGUAAUCCAUCAAAUUUUCUCACAGUAAAGUGUAACCUGUGUGGUUGCUUGUUUACUUCUCUAUCUCCUACCUUUUUCAUUUUAACUCUGCUCCUGUUCUCCAGUACCUAGGGGUUCUGCCCAACACCCAGACGUGGAUCCACCUUAUGUCAUCCAUUACCAACCACCCUCCAACUUUUCAUUACAUCAUCUACAGCUACUGUUGUUGUCAUUAUCUGCUAAGAGUUGUCUUGCUCUUAUCAUUCUGGGCACGUAAUAUGUUAGAUACACAGAUGAACUAAAAACACUAGCACUGCAAACACUCAGAACAAAGAGAGCAGCAGUGCCUGGACUUUGCAGUCUCCCUCUUCAAGUCCCCCUUCUGAGACUGGCUGCCUGUUGAGAACAAGUGACAGGCAGAAUUCCACACACCAGAAUUCAGUAUUUUAGUCUAUGAUUGCCACGUGAGUAUACAAAAAAUAUGUGAAAAUAAAUGAAUGACAUAACUACCAAAAACGAUCAAAGUUUCAUAAGGUGUUCAUUAUUGUAAGUUGUAAGGUAUCUUUUGACGAUAUUUAUUUGUUCCACAUUAUUCAUUAUUGUAUCCUAGGACCUACUGAUUAUAGAAAAAAAAAUCAUAGAGGACUACUGAAAUUAUAUUAUUUCAGUGCAGGUUAAGAUAAAAACAUGGCACCCAGACAAGCCAGUGUAUGAAUCAAAGGGGUUUGCAUAUGAAUAGAGUGGAAAUUAGCUGACUUCCUGAUCUGUAAUGUAUGUAACAUUAAUGUGUCAAGCAGGUUACGUUUUCUUUGCCAUUUCUGCAACGUAGCAACGUUUAAGACAUGGAUUUCAUGUUGUAAUGAUAACAAUGUACCCACAAGUAGUUCAAAUUAAUGUUUUCAUUUUAUUAGCUAAACAAAACUAGUUUAAACAGCGAAAUUGUCGCGGAAAGCAGCUUUGUUUGCAUAGUGAUGAUGAAAAGAAUGUAAUUUAGUUUGUAAUGAUCUCCAAAAUUCUAAUCAUUAUGUUGUCACACCGUUGAUAUAGCAAUGGACACUAAUAGUUUAUCGAAUAACAAUGUGACGUAGAGGGGACACUAUUUGGCAAUGCAAGCCCCAUGGGUUCUCGAAAGCUAGGGUAGUCAUGUCCCAUGUCCCUUACAUGACCGACAACCUCCAUAGUUUUUUUUAAAAGUCUGGUGUAAUUGCAGAGAACUUAUGAUAACUAAGCAUGAAGAAAGUGUUUGAGAACCUAUUUACAAAUGGCAGAGAGAGGUUGCAGCAUCACUCUUCCCAUAACAUGUAGGUCUGAGCCUAAAUUACAGAAAGGGAAGGAAGUUACCCUGUACAACCUCUUAAAAUAGGUCACUAUACUCACUUAUUACUGGUAAUAGCAUUUUCAUUUUUAAUAGCUUCUAUGACAUGAGAAAGUGUGUGUGUGUGAAAAUGCACAUCCAAUAUUCAUACACUUAUAUGGAUGCACAUAAUGUAUAUUAUAAAUAUGAGGCACUGGGACAUGAUUUGUUGUGUUAUACUUUAUCAAUAUCUGUUGAAAUUGAAGUGAUGUCUAGACUGUUUUCACCGAAGUGCAGCUUCAGACUCUCUAUUUAUACUUCAUCACUGAGAUUCUAUUUUGAUUCAGAGACCGAACAACCCAAGGCUUGUCUGAACACUCUGAUUCUCUUUUUAUCCCAUUGUCUCCUCACUUCAGCUGAGAAAGUGGAAGUCCUAUAUUAGAGCUCACUCUACUUAGCUGACCUCUAUCCAAAAUGGUUUUGUAACUGCCUCAGCUCCUGUACACACCCAGUAUCCAUAGAGAAAUACAUACUCACUUUUUAUCUGACUCUAAUAAAGUAUCUGUAUGAUGUGUGUUCAGCUUGAGACCAAACGGAUUGAGAGUGCGAGGAAUGCUAAUUGCAGAGGUUGAAGUGAUCAAUGAACCCACAGUAUUUAAACACUUCACCCCAAAGCCCACAUUUUAGUCUUUUUGUAGGGUAUAUGUCCCAAAUGGCACCCUAUUCCCUUUAUAGUGCACCACUUUGGACCAGGACCUAGGUCCAAGGUAGUGCACUAUGUAAAAAAAUAGGGUGCCCAUAGGAUGCAGAUUCAGUUUCUAACCGGGUGUGUGUCAGGUCCAAGGUUAUUAUAGUAAACUAAAACUGAACUAAAGAUGGGGGAAAAAUUGUUAUCUGAAAUAAAAUAAUUAACAGACCCGUUUGAAACUAUUAUAUUUGACUCCAAAACGAACUAAAGUCAAAUAAAAACCAUCAUGAAUUAUGUUUUUUCUUUUUUUCUUCUAAACUUUGGGCAAAAAUAAAAUGGGGUUUUCAAGCCGGGUAAAUUCUGACAGGAGAUGUCGAUGUUGUUACGAAUCCCGCCGAAGAUGGUGCCUCUUCCCGUUCGGGCGGCGCUCGGCGGUCGUCGUCUCCGGCCUACUAGCUGCCACCGAUCCCCUUUUCUGUUUCAUUUAGUUUUGUCUGAUUUGUUGCACCUGUUUUGUGUUUAGGUUUAUUGUGGGAUAUUUAAACCCAGUUGGCCCGCCGACUUUUGUGCGGGCUUGUUUAUCUGUUUGUGGUGUCGUAUUUUCUUGUUGUGUCUGUUCCAUGUGGAUUUUGUCCUGUUUGUUUUGGACUGUACUUGACGCGCCCUUGAAUGUGUGGCGUAGCCGUCUCGUUAUAUUCUUUUGGAAUAUUAAAUCCACUAGCUUCUCACUA